UAAAUCAGGGACGUCCUUGGAAAAUAGGAACACUUGGAGGGUCUGAGUGUGUAUGGAGGUCCUGGGCUGCCCAUAUGACAAAACCACACCCUCAACCUUGCUGAUGUGGUCCAAAGUAAAGCCAAGCAAUACGUUUGGAACCAGCUUGGCUGCAGGAGUUGCCGGAAGGAGUCAUGCAAUGCACCAUCCAACCAUCUUAGGGUCUCCACUCAGGAUUUGUGUAGGGUUUACUCCUUAGCCUUUUCUUCUCCCGAAUAUAUCCUUCAGUGUUUAGGACCAGAGUUCUCCUUCUCCUAGAUGGGCUACCUUGACCGUUGGACCCACAAUUGGUCUCUUUCCCUCAAUCUGCCAGAUCCCGUCUUCACAUGCAGUGGAAGUCCCUAACUCACUGAGGGUUUGAGACCCAUCAAUUAGCCUCUCCUGGUUUAGCUAGCCAGUCAUAGUCGUUCCUGGGAUGUGGCUGCUGACACCUGCUGACAGCUUCUAGGAGCCACAGGAAGGAAGGAUCAGCUCAGGUCGUCUAGUUCCAAAGGUUUGUGAAGUCAACAGGAUUCCAGCGCUGUUACUUACUGAGUUUCAGAUCCUCUUUACCCUGUAAACAUAGCUUUACUUUAUACCCCUUUACAUAGCUCCUGUGACUACCUCUGAGACUGAGGAAGUGGUGAGAUUUCUAUUAGAGGUCCAUUGUGUUUUCCUCACCCAGUAUAUUUCUUAGAAUUUCCGCUGCCAAUUUCUUUGUCAGCCCAAAUAGGGACUUUAUCCACCUUACAACAGUUCAGUUCAAGGUUGCUCUGUAGCCAUUAUCCAUUUUAUUCAUAUUAAAUAUUUUUAUUGGAUUUUAUAGUUUUACAAAGCUAAAAAGGAAAACAAUAAGACAUAAUAACAUUCUUCAUUUUAUGAUCAAGGCUGAUAAUCAAAGCUUUUCAUUACUUUGCAUUCUCAUGCUCUCCAAUGGACUUGCCCAUUAUCUUUUCUCCUUCCCUGUUAUUGGGCAACAUAUACCAUUUGGGAUACUUGGUUGCAUCAUUGCUAAGACAUCUUUACAUUUUUACUCAGCCAAGCUUAGGGUACCUCUAGUUACCCUACUCUGAAUUAUGGGAAGAUUAUGCUGUUCUGUUGCCUGGGUUUUGAUGUUUUACGACGUUUUUAUCUGGUGCAGUUUUGUACUGUUCAUUUUGUUGAUUUGACACCGCACCUUGCUUGUAAACCAUUGUGCAAACUUUCCUAUGAAAAAUGGUAUAGAAAUACUUUCAAUAAAUAAGACAAAGGUUUAA
Podarcis muralis (Common wall lizard) is the source of this 1274-nucleotide non-coding RNA. The record is from RefSeq and is a predicted model, not a curated record. NCBI's taxonomy places the organism in Eukaryota, Metazoa, Chordata, Lepidosauria, Squamata, Lacertidae.